GCAGCAGUAGGGAAUCUCCGCAAUGGACGAAAGUCUGACGGAGCAACGCCGCGUGAGUGAUGAAGGUUUUCGGAUCGUAAAGCUCUGUUGUUAGGGAAGAACAAGUGCCGUUCAAAUAGGGCGGCACCUUGACGGUACCUAACCAGAAAGCCACGGCUAACUACGUGCCAGCAGCCGCGGUAAUACGUAGGUGGCAAGCGUUGUCCGGAAUUAUUGGGCGUAAAGGGCUCGCAGGCGGUUUCUUAAGUCUGAUGUGAAAGCCCCCGGCUCAACCGGGGAGGGUCAUUGGAAACUGGGGAACUUGAGUGCAGAAGAGGAGAGUGGAAUUCCACGUGUAGCGGUGAAAUGCGUAGAGAUGUGGAGGAACACCAGUGGCGAAGGCGACUCUCUGGUCUGUAACUGACGCUGAGGAGCGAAAGCGUGGGGAGCGAACAGGAUUAGAUACCCUGGUAGUCCACGCCGUAAACGAUGAGUGCUAAGUGUUAGGGGGUUUCCGCCCCUUAGUGCUGCAGCUAACGCAUUAAGCACUCCGCCUGGGGAGUACGGUCGCAAGACUGAAACUCAAAGGAAUUGACGGGGGCCCGCACAAGCGGUGGAGCAUGUGGUUUAAUUCGAAGCAACGCGAAGAACCUUACCAGGUCUUGACAUCCUCUGACAAUCCUAGAGAUAGGACGUCCCCUUCGGGGGCAGAGUGACAGGUGGUGCAUGGUGUCGUCAGCUCGGUC
RNAcentral lists this ribosomal RNA (725 nucleotides) under Bacillus sp. (in: firmicutes). RNAcentral describes it as "bacterial SSU rRNA". It matches the Rfam family "Bacterial small subunit ribosomal RNA", at positions 348 to 1065 of the family's 1533-position model. The record is from RNAcentral. Lineage: Bacteria; Bacillati; Bacillota; Bacilli; Caryophanales; Bacillaceae.